CUCUGUGACUGGCUUGCUUGAUGGUUAGGGUCUGAUCGCUGCCUGAGACACCAUAUCGGUACUCCUCAGAGUUGAUGCAGAGUGUUCAUAUGAGGAGAGACUUUCCCUUGUCUCUGUCAUCUGUGAUUUCACUUCCCUGACAGAAGACGAAGCUUCCAUCUCAGAUGUUUUCUUAAAUGAUGAAACAGCAUACGCCUCUGUUCUUGUCAGCUCAGGGAAAACAGAUCUGGGGACCUCUUCAUCUCUGCGUUGGGAAGCAUAGGUGGUAUAAUCCCCUCCUGUCACGUCCAACGUUGCAUAGUCAGAAGCUUCGCCCUUGUAGUUGGUGCACACAGCACGGUGAUCACAGGAUCUGGUUUGCCACUGAAAGGAAUCUUGAUGCUGACCACUUCACCUCGGAGAGCAUGAACUGCUCCCAUGCCUUCAAGAGUUUUAGGAUGGCAUCAACUGUUCCAAAAACAUUGCUGAGCUGGACUUUGUAUUUCCCAGCAUGAGUCUUACGUUGGACAUUCUUCAUGACAAGUGGGUAACCAGGAUGGAACUGCGGUGUUGCUUGCAGGAGAAGCUUACUACUGGUUUCUACUUCUCCAACCUCAUUGGUGGCUAUGCAGGCACUGUCUCCAGACUGUCUAUAUUCAACCCAGUAUCCAAGAAUUUCUUUACCACCAUCACAUUCAGGUUUCUCCCACUGUAGAGUGACACUAUCUUUGGAUAUUGAAAGAAUCUCAAGUUCUCCUGGUUGG
RNAcentral lists this non-coding RNA (743 nucleotides) under Pan troglodytes (chimpanzee). The record is from RNAcentral. Lineage: Eukaryota; Metazoa; Chordata; Mammalia; Primates; Hominidae.